AAUCUUCCGCAAUGGGCGCAAGCCUGACGGAGCAACGCCGCGUGAGUGAUGAAGGCCUUCGGGUUGUAAAACUCUGUCCAUGGGGAAGAAACAAAUGACGGUACCCGUGGAGGAAGCCCCGGAUAACUACGUGCCAGCAGCCGCGGUAAAACGUAGGGGGCAAGCGUUGUCCGGAAUUACUGGGCGUAAAGGGCGUGUAGGCGGCUAUUCAAGUCAAUAGUGAAACCCGACGGCUUAACCGUCGGCCUGCUAUCGAAACUGAUUAGCUUGAGUGCAGGAGAGGAGAGUGGAAUUCCCAGUGUAGCGGUGAAAUGCGUAGAUACUGGGAGGAACACCAGUGGCGAAGGCGGCUCUCUGGCCUGCAACUGACGCUGAGGCGCGAAAGCGUGGGUAGCGAAC
RNAcentral lists this ribosomal RNA (399 nucleotides) under uncultured bacterium. RNAcentral describes it as "partial 16S ribosomal RNA". It matches the Rfam family "Bacterial small subunit ribosomal RNA", at positions 360 to 773 of the family's 1533-position model. The record is from RNAcentral.